This 2798-nucleotide long non-coding RNA is filed under the name Nicotiana benthamiana. RNAcentral's name for it is "long non-coding RNA (NBEN_LNC031345)". Lineage: Eukaryota; Viridiplantae; Streptophyta; Magnoliopsida; Solanales; Solanaceae. The record is from RNAcentral.
UUAUCCCUCCGAUGAAAAAUGUCCUUGUCCUCAAGGUCAGAACUGUGCCACAAAUUCAAGAAAUUUGCUUUGAAUGUAGCCCCAAUCUUCCCAGGUAGCUUCCUCUUCACUCAAAUUAGCCCACUGAACCAACACCGUGACUCCCACCCCAUUAUAACCUUCACCAUCUCCCUUCUCAAAAUAGCCACUGGAUAAACUAAGACAUCUCCGUUUGCAUCACAAAUCGGUUGUUGUUGUUGUGGAGUGAUGAUAGGGCCUACCAAUUUCUUCAACUGGGACAAAUGCAAUACAGGAUGGAUUUGAGAGUCUGGAGGAAGCUCUAAGCGGUAAGCAACUUUUCCUAUCCUUUGUAGAACCUUAUAAGGACCAUAGAAUUUAGCAUUGAGUUUGAGGUUCUUUCUUACUGCAACUGAAGCUUUUCUAUAUGGUUGAAGCUUCGGGUAUACCCAAUCCCCCACACUUAGGACUCUUUCCGAUCUAUUUUUAUCUAUAUAAAGCUUCAUUCUUGCUUGGGCUUGAGUGAGGUUAUCCUUCAAUCGUUGUAACAUCUCUUACUUUUAAAGCUAUGCAUGUCCCUACUUGGGACUGUACUGGUUGGGGUAAGGAUCCCAAGGGCAUUUGUGGUGGGACAAAUCCAUACAAUGCCCGGAAGGGGGUAGUUUUAAGAGCACUGUGGUGGUUUAUAUUGUACCACCACUCAGCUAAGGGUAACCACUAGACCUAUUGAUUAGGCUUAGUGAAUACCAUGGCACGCAAAUAUGCUUUCAAACACCUGUUCAAUCUCUCAGUUUGUCCAUCUGUCUAUGGGUGGUAAGAGGUGGACAUAUGUAACUUGACCCCCCAUAGAUUUGAGAAGUCUUUGCCAAAACUGACUAGUAAACACACUAUCUCUGUCGGAAACAAUAGUGUUAGGUAACCUAUGUAUCUUGUAUAUAUUUUCCUCAAGAACAAAUCAGUUACAUCUUGUUUUGUAAAUGGAUGCUUAAGAGCUAAGAAGUGGUCAUACUUGGUAAGCUUGUCCACUACCACCAAGAUGGCAUUUCUAUGGCUUGAGGAUGGAAACCAUUUCACAAAGUCCAUAACUAUGUCCUGCCAUGGUAACUUAGGAAUGGGUAGGGGCUGCAGUAAGUCAGGUAUGUGGAUAUUCUCAGUCUUCACUUGUUGAUAAAUGUCACAUUCUAAAACCCAUGUAUAUGCAUCCUUUUUCAUGUUAGGACAAUAAAAAAUCAUACGCAUCUUUUUAUAAGUCCCCAGUUGUCCAGAAUGACCCCCCAAAGGAGACUGCUGCACAGAUUCAAAGAUUUUAACCCUUAGAUUGGACCCCUGACCAAUGUAAAUCCUCUGAUUAUACCUGAGAAUUCUCUGAGCUAGAGCAUAACUAGAGUUAGAAUGUGUAUUGGUUAUCAAUUCUGUAAUCAAUUGAUGAACAACUUGAUUAUGUUUAUAACUCUGCUCUACCUCACUCAUCCAAGUAGGUUAAGUAGAACAAACGGCAUAUAGCGUUGAGUCCUCUUCUUGCUAUCUUUUUCUUGCUUCCUAGAUAGUGCAUCACCUACCCUAUUAUCAGCUCCCUUUUUGUAUUGAACUUCAUAAUCAAGACCAAGUAGUUUAGUUAGUCCUUUCUGUUGAAGUGUAGUAGUAACCCUCUGCUCCAGAAAAUAUUUUAGGCUAUGAUGACCUGUUCUUAUGAUAAAGUGGAUCCAUUGUAGAUAAUGUCUCCACUUAUCCAUAGCUGAUAGAACAACCAUGAACUCCUUUUCAUAGGUAGAUAAGCCCAAGUAUUUUGGUGCCAAGGCCUUGCGGAAAUAAGCAAGGGGCAUGUCUUCUUUCAUCAGCACAGCUCCCAUCCCUUUAGAGCAAGCAUCUGUCUCUAUUAUAAAUGUUUUGUUGAAAUCUUCUAGUGCUAACACUGGUGCACUGGUCAUAGACUGUUUAAGGGUCUGAAGUGUUUGAUCUGCUUCUAAGUCCCAAUGAAAAGUAAUUUUUUUAAACAAGUUGGUCAGUGAUCUACUAGUAACUCCAUAAGAUGUAAUGAAUCUUCUGUAGUAACUAGUAAGUCCCAAAAAUCCCCUUAAGGCCUUGAUUAUGGUAGGAGUAGGCCAAUUAGUCAUAGCCUCAAUUUUGGAAGGGUCACUAGUAACCCCUUCCCCUGUUAUAAUAUUCCCCAAAUAUUCCAUUUACGAUUGGCCAGAGGAACACUUUGAAAGUUUAGCAAAUAGAUAUUCCUUUCUGAGGACCCCUGGUACAUAUUUUAAUGUGUUACAUGCUCUUCUAUGGAAGGACUAUAUAUGAGAAUGUCGUCAAAAAAACACCAGCACAAACCUCCUGAUAUAGUCCUUGAACACGCGGUUCAUGAGUGAUUGGAAAGUGGUAGGGGCACUGGUCAACCCAAAAGGCAUGACCUUAAACUCAUAGUGUUUUAAAUGAGUUCGAAAAGCAAUUUAUAAAUGUCAUCUUCCCCCAUUCUUAUUUGAUGAUAUCCAGCCCUCAGAUAUAUUUUUGGAAAAAAUGCAUAACCCACACAACGUAUCCAUUAAAUCAUCAACUAAAGGAAUAGGAAAUUUAUCUUUUAUGGUCAUGUUAUUCAAAGCCCUAUAGUUUAUUCAAAACCUCCAACUUACAUCCUUUUUCUUAACUAGCAAAAUAGGGGAUGAAAAGGGGGAAUGGCUAGGUUGUAUUAUACCACCGUGGAGCAUUUCAUUAACUUUCUUUUCAAUCUCAUUUUCUUGAAAGAAACUGUAUCUAUAAAGCCUGAUACUUAUAGGGUUUGCAUAUGUUUUCAGGGGAAUCAAAUGAUC